GAUUAGAUACCCUGGUAGUCCACGCCCUAAACGAUGUCUACUAGUUGUCGGGUCUUAAUUGACUUGGUAACGCAGCUAAUGCGUGAAGUAGACCGCCUGGGGAGUACGGUCGCAAGAUUAAAACUCAAAGGAAUUGACGGGGACCCGCACAAGCGGUGGAUGAUGUGGAUUAAUUCGAUGCAACGCGAAAAACCUUACCUACCCUUGACAUGUACAGAAUCCCGAAGAGAUUUGGGAGUGUUCGAAAGAAAACUGUAACACAGGUGCUGCAUGGCUGUCGUCAGCUCGUGUCGUGAGAUGUUGGGUUAAGUCCCGCAACGAGCGCAACCCUUGUCAUUAGUUGCUACGAAAGGGCACUCUAAUGAGACUGCCGGUGACAAACCGGAGGAAGGUGGGGAUGACGUCAAGUCCUCAUGGCCCUUAUGGGUAGGGCUUCACACGUCAUACAAUGGUACAUACAGAGGGCCGCCAACCCGCGAGGGGGAGCUAAUCCCAGAAAGUGUAUCGUAGUCCGGAUUGUAGUCUGCAACUCGACUACAUGAAGUUGGAAUCGCUAGUAGUCGCGGAUCAGCAUGUCGCGGUGAAUACGUUCCGGGGUCUUGUACACACCGCCCGUCACACCAUGGGAGCGGGUUUUACCAGAAGUAGGUAGCCUAACCGUAAGGAGGGCGCUUACCACGGUAGGAUUCGUGACUGGGGUGAAGUCGUAACAAGGUAACCGUA
This 723-nucleotide ribosomal RNA is filed under the name uncultured endophytic bacterium. Its description in RNAcentral is "bacterial SSU rRNA". It matches the Rfam family "Bacterial small subunit ribosomal RNA", at positions 776 to 1504 of the family's 1533-position model. The record is from RNAcentral.